GAUGAAGAACGUAGCGAAAUGCGAUAAGUAAUGUGAAUUGCAGAAUUCAGUGAAUCAUCGAAUCUUUGAACGCACCUUGCACCCUUGGCAUUCCGAAGGGUAUGCUCGUUUGAGUGUCAUUGUACUCUCACACUCUCCGAUCCUAUGGAUUCGGGGAGCGGUGGACUUGGGUGUUGCUGCCUUUCCCUGUGGCUCACCUCAAAUGCGUCAGUGCACCUCUUGGUUGGACAUAGUACGGCGUGAUAAGUGUCUUCGCCGGCACCUCGCAAGAGGGUGGCCGAUCGGGAGCUCUGCGCUUUCAAACCGUCUUCGGACAAUUUCUGACAUCUUGACCUCAAAUCGAGUAGGACUACCCGCUGAACUUAAGCAUAUCAAUAAGCGGAGGA
This 386-nucleotide unclassified non-coding RNA is filed under the name soil metagenome. RNAcentral's name for it is "partial contains 5.8S ribosomal RNA, internal transcribed spacer 2, and large subunit ribosomal RNA". The stretch from base 1 to 119 matches the Rfam family "5.8S ribosomal RNA", at positions 35 to 154 of the family's 154-position model. The record is from RNAcentral.